Molecule: ribosomal RNA, 252 nt
Filed under: uncultured bacterium
Lineage: Bacteria
Description: partial 16S ribosomal RNA
Rfam family: Bacterial small subunit ribosomal RNA
Source: RNAcentral
UACGGGGGGGCAAGCGUUGUUCGGAAUUACUGGGCGUAAAGGGCUCGUAGGUGGCCAACUAAGUCAGACGUGAAAUCCCUCGGCUUAACCGGGGAACUGCGUCUGAUACUGGAUGGCUUGAGUUUGGGAGAGGGACGCGGAAUUCCAGGUGUAGCGGUGAAAUGCGUAGAUAUCAGGAGGAACACCGGUGGCGAAGGCGGUUCUCUGGGCAUUACCUGACGCUGAGGAGCGAAAGUGUGGGGAGCGAACAGG